This 655-nucleotide ribosomal RNA is filed under the name uncultured Actinomycetes bacterium. RNAcentral describes it as "bacterial SSU rRNA". It matches the Rfam family "Bacterial small subunit ribosomal RNA", at positions 232 to 886 of the family's 1533-position model. Lineage: Bacteria; Bacillati; Actinomycetota; Actinomycetes. The record is from RNAcentral.
CGCGGCCUAUCAGCUUGUUGGUGGGGUGAUGGCUUACCAAGGCUUUGACGGGUAGCCGGCCUGAGAGGGUGACCGGUCACAUUGGGACUGAGAUACGGCCCAGACUCCUACGGGAGGCAGCAGUGGGGAAUUUUGCACAAUGGGCGCAAGCCUGAUGCAGCGACGCCGCGUGAGGGAUGGAGGCCUUCGGGUUGUGAACCUCUUUCGCUCAUGGUCAAGCCGCAGUUUUGAUUGUGGUGAGGGUAGUGGGUAAAGAAGCGCCGGCUAACUACGUGCCAGCAGCCGCGGUAAUACGUAGGGCGCGAGCGUUGUCCGGAAUUAUUGGGCGUAAAGGGCUUGUAGGCGGCUUGUCGCGUCUGCCGUGAAAUCCUCUGGCUUAACUGGGGGCGUGCGGUGGGUACGGGCUGGCUUGAGUGCGGUAGGGGAGACUGGAAUUCCUGGUGUAGCGGUGGAAUGCGCAGAUAUCAGGAGGAACACCGGUGGCGAAGGCGGGUCUCUGGGCCGUUACUGACGCUGAGGAGCGAAAGCAUGGGGAGCGAACAGGAUUAGAUACCCUGGUAGUCCAUGCUGUAAACGUUGGGCACUAGGUGUGGGGGCCGUCCUUGGUUUCUGCGCCGUAGCUAACGCUUUAAGUGCCCCGCCUGGGGAGUACGGA